UACAGAGGGUGCGAGCGUUAAUCGGAGUUACUGGGCGUAAAGGGCGCGUAGGUGGUUGUGUGAGUGUGAUGUGAAAGCCCCGGGCUUAACCUGGGAAGUGCAUCGCAAACGACAUAACUGGAGUAUAUGAGAGGGUAGCGGAAUUUCCGGUGUAGCGGUGAAAUGCGUAGAGAUCGGAAGGAACGUCAAUGGCGAAGGCAGCUACCUGGCAUAAUACUGACACUGAGGCGCGAAAGCGUGGGGAUCGAACAGG
RNAcentral lists this ribosomal RNA (253 nucleotides) under uncultured bacterium. RNAcentral describes it as "partial 16S ribosomal RNA". It matches the Rfam family "Bacterial small subunit ribosomal RNA", at positions 524 to 776 of the family's 1533-position model. The record is from RNAcentral.